CGCACGGGUGAGUAACACGUAUCCAACCUGCCGUCUACUCUUGGACAGCCUUCUGAAAGGAAGAUUAAUACAAGAUGGCAUCAUGAGUCCACAUGUUCACAUGAUUAAAGGUAUUCCGGUAGACGAUGGGGAUGCGUUCCGUUAGAUAGUAGGCGGGGUAACGGCCCACCUAGUCUUCGAUGGAUAGGGGUUCUGAGAGGAAGGUCCCCCACAUUGGAACUGAGACACGGUCCAA
This 235-nucleotide ribosomal RNA is filed under the name uncultured bacterium. RNAcentral's name for it is "partial 16S ribosomal RNA". It matches the Rfam family "Bacterial small subunit ribosomal RNA", at positions 99 to 334 of the family's 1533-position model. The record is from RNAcentral.